Gasterosteus aculeatus aculeatus (three-spined stickleback) is the source of this 1453-nucleotide non-coding RNA. The record is from RefSeq and is a predicted model, not a curated record. Lineage: Eukaryota; Metazoa; Chordata; Actinopteri; Perciformes; Gasterosteidae.
UGAUUCCGGUUGAAAUUAGCAGGAUAGUUCUUCACACGUAGCAGUGGAGUAGUGCUCACUUAUACAAUUGUAAUCGCCGCAAUGGAUAUGUGAUUCAUUCUGAAAGUUAUCAGCAAUAUGUUUGCGAUUGUGACGACUCAGGUGACCGAAGCAGACAACAUCUGCCGCUGUUAGGUGAGCACAAACAUGCACGCGUAGGCAAACCAGUAGGUUUGAAAAAAAACAAAAACAGUAGGGACGUAACACCGGCUUCGGUUCGGAGAGACUGGACGAGGAUGUCCGGGGCCCUGCCAAUAUCCCUCUGACCAGCUGCUGUGGUUGGAAUACCUGUUCAGGCAGAGCACGGGUACGGACCCUUCUCUCUGAAGGACACCGUCAAUGAUGGACCUUGUCCAGAGGAGGCGGUUCAGCAUGGGCUGCCCGAUCCAGAUCCAGGGGCCGACGAGGCGUACCAGAGCGACGGGGAGGCUCGUGCCAUCCUGCCGCACAUUAACCUCACCAGCAAUGAAACCCCAGUGUUCACCCUCCAGCAUCUCUUGUCAACACUCCAAAACCUGCUUCGAAAGGCUGGAAAAGUUCUGCUGUGCUAUAAAUCAGACAAGCUGACUCUUUCCGCUGAGCAGAGGAACGAGGUCCUUGAAGUCUGGAACAAAGUGGAGGAGCACGAGAAGCAGCCGCAGCAGUUCAACCAGCUGUAAAGAACUUACUGGACCAUCGGCCUGUACUGCAGCACAAAGAACAUCUGGUUGAUGCUGCUGUGAUCCAGAGGGACGCAGCCCUCCAGGACCCGAUUUGGAGGACACAUCUGAUUCGCCCUUUGCAGCCCAGCAUAUCCCAUCGUGCAGUGCGGGCCGACGAGGAUUUAAUGUAUUCAAGAUGGAAGCAGUUCAGCCGACAGCGGGGAAGAGUCCCCCUUAAAUGUAACAUAAUAUAACGCACUCGAAUAUUUACAGAUAUAAAUGUUAUAUAACAUCACAUCUUAACAUAUUGAAUUACUAGGUUUUUUUUUUCGCUUUUGUUUUUUUUGGAUGAAACCGGUCACAGAGAGCAUGUCCUUCUGUAGUUUUUGUGACAGGAUGGGCCAAUAUCCACGGAUUGGCAUCUUCUGGCGAUGGUCCAACGAGGGAAUGACCGCUUAGGUUGUUCACCCGCGGCAUUUUCAGCUCCAAUUUUUUCUCUGAAGCAAGUGCCAAGUUCUCCUUUGUUGGGGGACACAAGCGUCCUUCAUUCGGUUGGAAAAACGGUUGUUUGCUUCAAUUGUUCAUGUGUCUGGCUACAGAAACCUCUGAUAUUAAGCAUGUGGGAAAUGCUUUGAAGCUAAGCAGUCCAUCAACGUGGUCACUGGCAGACUGCCCACAACAGGAAGUUUACGUAGUAAACUACUCCAUGAGUGCAGGAGAAAUGCAAUAUACCACCUGUUAAUUAAAUAAAAACAUAAGCGUAUUCAAGAUAA